RNAcentral lists this ribosomal RNA (524 nucleotides) under uncultured bacterium. RNAcentral describes it as "partial 16S ribosomal RNA". It matches the Rfam family "Bacterial small subunit ribosomal RNA", at positions 28 to 523 of the family's 1533-position model. The record is from RNAcentral.
GACGAACGCUGGCGGCGCGCCUAAUACAUGCAAGUCGAGCGGGGAGGCGGGCGGAAGCCUUUGGGUGGACGUCCGUCUCUUAGCGGCGGACGGGUGAGGAACACGUAGGCAACCUGUCCUAAAGACUGGGAUAACUUCGGGAAACCGGAGCUAAUACCGGAUACGUUCUUUUCUCGCAUGAGAGAAGAUGGAAAGAUGGUUUCGGCUAUCACUUACAGAUGGGCCCGCGGAGCAUUAGCUAGUUGGUGAGGUAAUGGCUCACCAAGGCAACGAUGCGUAGCCGACCUGAGAGGGUGAUCGGCCACACUGGGACUGAGACACGGCCCAGACUCCUACGGGAGGCAGCAGUAGGGAAUCUUCCGCAAUGGACGAAAGUCUGACGGAGCAACGCCGCGUGAACGAUGAAGGCCUUCGGGUCGUAAAGUUCUGUUGUUAGGGAAGAACAAGUACCAGAGUAACUGCUGGUACCUUGACGGUACCUAACCAGAAAGCCACGGCUAACUACGUGCCAGCAGCCGCGGUAA